AUUGAACGCUGGCGGCAUGCCUUACACAUGCCAGUCGAACGGCAGCACGGGUGCUUGCACCUGGUGGCGAGUGGCGAACGGGUGAGUAAUACAUCGGAACAAGUCCUGUAGUGGGGGAUAGCCCGGCGAAAGCCGGAUUAAUACCGCAUACGAUCUACGGAUGAAAGCGGGGGACCUUCGGGCCUCGCGCUAUAGGGUUGGCCGAUGGCUGAUUAGCUAGUUGGUGGGGUAAAGGCCUACCAAGGCGACGAUCAGUAGCUGGUCUGAGAGGACGACCAGCCACACUGGGACUGAGACACGGCCCAGACUCCUACGGGAGGCAGCAGUGGGGAAUUUUGGACAAUGGGCGAAAGCCUGAUCCAGCAAUGCCGCGUGUGUGAAGAAGGCCUUCGGGUUGUAAAGCACUUUUGUCCGGAAAGAAAUCCUUGGCCCUAAUACGGUCGGGGGAUGACGGUACCGGAAGAAUAAGCACCGGCUAACUACGUG
RNAcentral lists this ribosomal RNA (486 nucleotides) under uncultured bacterium. RNAcentral describes it as "partial 16S ribosomal RNA". It matches the Rfam family "Bacterial small subunit ribosomal RNA", at positions 30 to 507 of the family's 1533-position model. The record is from RNAcentral.